This is a long non-coding RNA of Hyalella azteca, 186 nucleotides long. RefSeq lists it as uncharacterized. The transcript is spliced from 3 exons. Lineage: Eukaryota; Metazoa; Arthropoda; Malacostraca; Amphipoda; Hyalellidae. The record is from RefSeq and is a predicted model, not a curated record.
GUGUACUCCUACGUGGAUGACGCGGGACGGCAGCAGGAGCGUCGGGGCACCUACAGGUCUGUCCCGUCAGGCUUCACCACCGCCGCUAGAAUAGAGCUGUCCGGCCUCACGCCUACCAUGCUGGGGGCUGAUGUGUUCGGUAACACGUACCUGUAUCCUAUAUACAAGGACGAGUCUGGCAUGGAA